Molecule: unclassified non-coding RNA, 337 nt
Filed under: soil metagenome
Description: partial contains 5.8S ribosomal RNA, internal transcribed spacer 2, and large subunit ribosomal RNA
Rfam family: 5.8S ribosomal RNA (bases 1-120)
Source: RNAcentral
GAUGAAGAACGCAGCGAAAUGCGAUAAGGAGUGUGAAUUGCAGAAUUCAGUGAAUCAUCGAAUCUUUGAACGCACAUUGCGCCCCUUGGUAUUCCAUGGGGCAUGCCUGUUCGAGCGUCAUUUGUACCUUCAAGCUCUGCUUGGUGUUGGGUGUUUGUCUCGCCUCUGCGUGUAGACUCGCCUCAAAACAAUUGGCAGCCGGCGUAUUGAUUUCGGAGCGCAGUACAUCUCGCGCUUUGCACUCAUAACGACGACGUCCAAAAGUACAUUUUUACACUCUUGACCUCGGAUCAGGUAGGGAUACCCGCUGAACUUAAGCAUAUCAAUAAGCGGAGGA